Molecule: unclassified non-coding RNA, 433 nt
Filed under: soil metagenome
Description: partial contains 5.8S ribosomal RNA, internal transcribed spacer 2, and large subunit ribosomal RNA
Rfam family: 5.8S ribosomal RNA (bases 1-120)
Source: RNAcentral
GAUGAAGAACGCAGCGAAAUGCGAUACGUAAUGUGAAUUGCAGAAUUCAGUGAAUCAUCGAAUCUUUGAACGCAUAUUGCGCUCUCUGGUAUUCCGGAGAGCAUGCUUGUUUGAGUAUCAGUAAACACCUCAACUCCCUUUUCUUUUUUGAAAUGGGAGCUGGACUUGAGUGAUCCCAACACUUUUCUCACUGGAAAGUGGCGGGUCACUUGAAAUGCAGGUGCAGCUGGACUUUUCUCUGAGCUAUAAGCAUAUCUAUUUAGUCUGCCUAAAAAACAGAUUAUUACCUUUGCUGCAGCUAACAUAAAGGAGAUGAGUUCUUGUGCUGACUGAUGCAGGAUUCACAGAGACAGCUUUGCGGCUGACUUUGUAAACUCGAUCUCAAAUCAAGUAAGACUACCCGCUGAACUUAAGCAUACCAAUAAGCGGAGGA